Long non-coding RNA from Nannospalax galili (Upper Galilee mountains blind mole rat), 346 nucleotides. RefSeq lists it as uncharacterized. The transcript is spliced from 3 exons. Lineage: Eukaryota; Metazoa; Chordata; Mammalia; Rodentia; Spalacidae. The record is from RefSeq and is a predicted model, not a curated record.
CCAAAUUGAAGAAAGGACGACAUGAGGGAUUCCAGCACAAGCAGGAGACCAAGGAAAGAAGGACGGCAGGGACAAAGUUGUCCCAUGACCAGUGUUUUCAACCUUCCAGAAAAAGCCCUGAAAAUGAAAGUCUAGAGCCCAGAUUGCUUAAAGAGGAAGAAUGGCAAGCACAGAAUCCUACAGGGGACCCCCAGGCCCAGCCCCAGCCCAGCCUAAUUAAGUGAGUGACUUAAGGGAGCUGCCUCUGCAAGAUUAAGAGAGCAUCUUACGGGGCACAACCUACCUGCUUCUAUCUGGUAGAGCUCCCCCAUUGUCCUACACCAGGACCAAGGCUUCAAGGGCUUUU